CACCCUCAACACUGUCACUCUGGGCACUGAGCCUGUAGCACAUGAACUUCAGGGGACAGUUGUAUCCCAGUUGAGUUUCGCAACCAUGAUGUGGGAAUGGACUUGAAAAACAUCUGGUUAAUAUUUUCCAAAGCUGAAUCUAUGCAUACUCUACGAGCUACCAGUCCCACUCCUGAGUAAAUACUGCAUAGAAAUGAACACACAUGUCCAUCAAAGAUGGGCCUUCAGAGCAGAGCUUAUAGCCCCAAACCAGAAAUGAUGCAAAGGUCUAAAGUCUGAGUAUGAGAAUUAAAUUAUAGUCAAACCUCAAAGUGAACUACUACACAACAGUGAAUGAACAGACCUCAGUCACCCCAGGGAUACAGAAAAAUCUCACACCCAUCAUGUUAAAGAGCAGAAUUCGUUUAUAGAGAAAUUCAUUCUAUAUGAGUCAAUGAAGACAGGGUUCCAAUACAGGCACAACUCAUGUCUGGUGUUAGAGCUCAGGUGAUUUGGUCAAUUAGAAGCUGGUAGGACAUGAUACGAUUCCUAAAAUUCUCCAAAUCAACAGCAGACUAGAGCCAGAUGUGACCCUCUGCCCAAAUCAGAGGACUUUUGAAUGGCCUAGACAUUCCACAACCUGACUCAAUCUUAGCCAGAUUGUAAG
RNAcentral lists this long non-coding RNA (646 nucleotides) under Heterocephalus glaber (naked mole-rat). Its description in RNAcentral is "lncRNA (ENSHGLG00000038107.1)". Lineage: Eukaryota; Metazoa; Chordata; Mammalia; Rodentia; Bathyergidae. The record is from RNAcentral.